CCUUCGACUGUGCUGGGCACCUGCGGAGAAGCCAGAAGUGCUGAUUCUCAGACCCCAUCCUCAAGUAUCGAAUGUACUUCAUGACAUGGGUGGAGGGUCAGGAGUCUGAGUAUAACUAGCACAUCUGGGGCCCUUCCCCAUUAAGUCCAGUUUGAGAACACCCAGUCUGAGGCUGGAAGGCCCUUGCUUUCUCUCUGGCCUGCUCCCAGGGGCUGCCUCCUGCUGGGGUUGUGUUACCAUCCUCCUGUUCUCUCUGCUCAGUCCAGGCUUCCAGACUGGAGGACUUCUAGUACCAGUGAUGGGUCUUGGGCCUCCUGGGUCCUGGGCAGUGGCUAGAUGCUAUGACCUUGCUCCCACAGGUGUCCUACCCUGCUCGGGCCUGUGGAUGACCCUUCCGGAGGGCAAUCAGGGCCAAGGACAUGUGUGACUGUUCUCCCUGGGCUCUGGUCAAAGAGGUGGGGGUGGUGUCAGGCUCAGGCCAUCUUGGGAUUCUAGAAAAAAACAAGUGACUGUUUAUUUAGUUGUAGGUACCAAGGCAUUUGAAGGUCCACUCCUAAUUCCAGGAGCCAAUAUCUGGGUCAGGCUGGCAUGCCCACUGGGAGUGGCCAGGGCUGUGGGGACUAAAGGAGCCCUGCUGAGCAUGGUGCUCGUGGGAACUGAAGCUCCCUGGUGGGUUCUGGGGACAGAGGGAGUGUGCAGGAAUGGGUGGGAGUCAGGUGUGAUCAUCACUCACCUCCCCUAGUUUGAGAGUCUUCCUUCAGGUCAGAGUUCUGGCCUGGCCUGGCCAGUCUCCAAGGCUCUGUGGUGGCUGGGCUGGGGACCAGUCAGAAGAGUUGGUGUGAGGUUUAGGACAAGCUGGGUGUAGGGCCUUCUGGUUUGAUGAGUUGAGCAGGAGUUAAGACUGAAAGACCCUCGUCCUGCCUCACCCCUCGGAGCCCAGUCAGUGCAGCCCUGAUCCGGGGCUGGGUUCAGCCAGAAUACUGUCACUCAGGAGCAGCCCAGUCUCUGUAACUGAAAUGACAGCAGCCAAACUGGGGUGACCUCAGGGUCUGUGUUUCCCUUGUCACCUCCUCUUCCUGUCUCCAGGUCCUGGAUGGUGGGUGGUGGGCCAGGGGAGGUCCUGGGAGCCAUGGCCUUCCCUCUGUGUCCUGGGCAGGUUCUGAGUUGGUAGCUUCAACUCCAUCAGGGUCAGGAAGGGAGGACACAGAUGCAGCUGUGCCUUCUUGGUUCCCUUAGACACUGAAGGAUAAAGGGCAAGGAGCAAGCUAGGGAGACCUGCCCCCCUGCCCUGAUGCACACAGCUUCCACAAGCUCCGUUUCAAGUUCUCACCUAUGAUGAGAAAGAGGAGCUCAUGCCAGGUGGAGAGAUGCCCUCUGCCCUCUGGGCAGAUUCUCAGCAGAGGAGAGGGAAGAGUGGGUGUCAAGGCCUGGGCUGGGGGAGCUCAGCUUGCUCCCCUGAUGGAGGAUCAGCUGGGCCCAGAGCAUGGGGAGGAGCUGCCUGAUCUCUGCAUGUCUGGCUUCUCUGUGGUGCAUGUCCAGGGAUACUUCUGGGUUCCUGUUUCCAAUCAUGGGGGUCUCCAGGGGACAAGUGGAUAGUGUAGAUGCUGAGGGUGCCCAUGUCUGUCCUGCUGCUCCAGGUCCCCAAAACUUUUGACUAACGUUGUGCAUGUUUAAUUCUCUGUUGGCUGUGGCUGCUGCCUACCUAGGAGCUGAUAACUAAUCCUCCUCAGCAGGUGAGUCACUCUCAGGGCUCUCAUCAUUUCAGGUGAUGAGCCCACUCUCCUGGGCUGAUGCCCUGAAGUGGGCCCAAAACAAGGGUUUGCCCAUUUCACCUCCUACCUUCUUACUCAUCUGUGGACAUCCAGAUAGGGGGGCAUGCAGGAGGGCCCCCAAAGAGAAAAAAGAAACCUAGGAAAGGGAGGGUGGUGCAGAAGACCUCCGCC
This 1943-nucleotide long non-coding RNA is filed under the name Marmota monax (woodchuck). Lineage: Eukaryota; Metazoa; Chordata; Mammalia; Rodentia; Sciuridae. The record is from RNAcentral.